AUAUCAAUAAGCGGAGGAAAAGAAACUAACAAGGAUUCCCCUAGUAACUGCGAGUGAAGCGGGAAAAGCUCAAAUUUGAAAUCUGGCAGUUCUUGACUGUCCGAGUUGUAAUCUAGAGAAGUGUUACCUGUGCUGGACCGUGUACAAGUCUUCUGGAAUGGAGCAUCAUAGAGGGUGAGAAUCCCGUCUUUGACAUGGACUACCAGUACAUUAUGGUGUGCUCUCAAAGAGUCGAGUUGUUUGGGAAUGCAGCUCAAAAUGGGUGGUAAAUGCCAUCUAAAGCUAAAUAUUGGCGAGAGACCGAUAGCGAACAAGUACCGUGAGGGAAAGAUGAAAAGAACUUUGGAAAGAGAGUUAAACAGUACGUGAAAUUGCUGAAAGGGAAACGCUUGAAGUCAGUCGCGUUGGCUAGAAAUCAGCCUUGCUUUUGCUUGGUGUACUUUCUGGUCUGACGGGUCAGCAUCAAUUUUGACCACUGGACAAAGUCACUGGGAAUGUGGCAUCUUUGGAUGUGUUAUAGCCCAGGGUCGCAUACGGUGGUUGGGAUUGAGGAACUCAGCACGCCGCAAGGCCGGGUUUCGACCACGAAUCGUGCUUAGGAUGCUGGCAUAAUGGCUUUAAUCGACCCGUCUUGAAACACGGACCAAGGAGUCUAACAUGCCUGCGAGUGUUUGGGUGGAAAACUCAUGCGCGCAAUGAAAGUGAAAGUUGAGAUCCCUGAAAGGGGAGCAUUGACGCCCGGACCAGACCUUCUGUGACGGAUCCGCGGUAGAGCAUGUAUGUUGGGACCCGAAAGAUGGUGAACUAUGCCUGAAUAGGGUGAAGCCAGAGGAAACUCUGGUGGAGGCUCGUAGCGAUUCUGACGUGCAAAUCGAUCGUCAAAUUUGGGUAUAGGGGCGAAAGACUAAUCGAACCAUCUAGUAGCUGGUU
RNAcentral lists this ribosomal RNA (930 nucleotides) under Inocybe brevicula. RNAcentral describes it as "eukaryotic LSU rRNA". It matches the Rfam family "Eukaryotic large subunit ribosomal RNA", at positions 40 to 956 of the family's 3401-position model. Lineage: Eukaryota; Fungi; Basidiomycota; Agaricomycetes; Agaricales; Inocybaceae. The record is from RNAcentral.